This 253-nucleotide ribosomal RNA is filed under the name uncultured bacterium. RNAcentral describes it as "partial 16S ribosomal RNA". It matches the Rfam family "Bacterial small subunit ribosomal RNA", at positions 524 to 776 of the family's 1533-position model. The record is from RNAcentral.
UACGAAGGGGGCUAGCGUUGUUCGGAAUUACUGGGCGUAAAGCGCGCGCAGGCGGUCCUUUAAGUCGGGGGUGAAAGCCCAGAGCUCAACUCUGGAACUGCCUUCGAAACUAGAGGACUUGGGUACGGGAGAGGUGAGUGGAAUUCCGAGUGUAGAGGUGAAAUUCGUAGAUAUUGGGAAGAACACCGGUGGCGAAGGCGGCUCACUGGCUCGUAACUGACGCUCAGGCGCGACAGCGUGGGGAUCAAACAGG